UCCUCCUCCUCUUCGUCUUGAGAAUGGAGGUUUCCAGAUGUGAGGCCCCCCUGUACCAACAUAACAUCAUCUCCAGAGCGGGAUAAAGGACCACUUGUACCUGACCACUCACAGUGACAUCAUCGCAUAAUGAUGGGCACCAUGGUUAUAGUCUCUGGUGACCGAGUGAGCUGUUAUUAUUGUCUGGCCUGGUUUUUCUGGAGGUCUGGACCAUCAAAGUCUCAGUCACUUACAGUCCAGUGGUGCUCUGGGAAAAGGCAGAGACUGCAGAUGUGUUUCAGCAGCCAAAACCUGGGCUUCCUGGUGACGUCUAAACAGCUGCCUUUCACAAUGGCAUCCCUUUUGGGUGUGGCCCUAAGUAAGCACAAAUUAAGUCCAAAUAAAAUGGGACAGCAUACGCUGACCAAGG
This is a long non-coding RNA of Alosa alosa (allis shad), 409 nucleotides long. RefSeq lists it as uncharacterized. The transcript is spliced from 3 exons. Lineage: Eukaryota; Metazoa; Chordata; Actinopteri; Clupeiformes; Clupeidae. The record is from RefSeq and is a predicted model, not a curated record.